This is an RNA transcript of Nannospalax galili (Upper Galilee mountains blind mole rat), 766 nucleotides long. It is a transcript of the gene named neurotensin receptor type 2 pseudogene, with no coding region annotated. The transcript has a single exon. The record is from RefSeq and is a predicted model, not a curated record. Lineage: Eukaryota; Metazoa; Chordata; Mammalia; Rodentia; Spalacidae.
GGGAGGGAGCACAGGCCUCCAGGAGACGGUGAUGGAGACAAGCAGCCCGCGGCCGCCGAGGCCCAGCCCCAACCCAGGGCUAAGCCUGGACGCGCGGCUGGGCGUGGAUACGCGCCUCUGGGCCAAGGUGCUGUUCACUGCGCUCUUCUCGCUUAUCUUUGCCCUGGGCACUGCAGGCAAUGCGCUGUCCGUGCACGUGGUGCUGAAGGCGCGGGCCGGCCGCACCGGGCGCCUGCGCUACCAUGUACUCAGCCUGGCGCUCGCGGCGCUGCUGCUGCUGCUGGUCAGCGUGCCGGUGGAGCUCUACAACUUCGUGUGGUCCCACUACCCCUGGGUCUUCGGCGACCUGGGCUGCCGCGCCUACUACUUCGUGCGCGAACUGUGCGCCUACGCCACAGUGCUGAGCGUUGCCAGCCUGAGCGCUGAGCGCUGCCUGGCCGUGUGCCAGCCGCUGCGCGCCCGCCGCCUGCUCACUCCGCGCCACACCCGCCGCCUGCUGUCCUUGGUCUGGGCCGCCUCUCUUGGCCUCUCCCUACCUAUGGCGGUGAUCAUGGGACAGAAACACGAGCUGGAGACCACCAGCGGGGAACCUGAGCCCGCCUCGCGCGUGUGCACAGUGCUAGUGAGCCGCGCCACUCUACAAGUGUUCAUCCAGGUAAGGGAGAGGCAGCUGGAGGGCAGGAACUGGGGAGCAGGCAUGUUCAGUUCUGAUCCUCUGACCACCAGAAAGUUGGCUCUCAUUGCCCUAUUUUACAAACGCCUAUGA